RNAcentral lists this ribosomal RNA (417 nucleotides) under uncultured archaeon. RNAcentral describes it as "bacterial SSU rRNA". It matches the Rfam family "Archaeal small subunit ribosomal RNA", at positions 582 to 997 of the family's 1478-position model. The record is from RNAcentral.
UACUGCCAGACUUGGAACCGGGAGAGGUAAGAGGUACUACAGGGGUAGGAGUGAAAUCUUGUAAUCCCUGUGGGACCACCUGUGGCGAAGGCGUCUUACCAGAACGGGUUCGACGGUGAGGGACGAAAGCUGGGGGCACGAACCGGAUUAGAUACCCGGGUAGUCCCAGCCGUAAACGAUGCUCGCUAGGUGCCAGGCAUGGCGCGACCGUGUCUGGUGCCGCAGGGAAGCCGUGAAGCGAGCCACCUGGGAAGUACGGCCGCAAGGCUGAAACUUAAAGGAAUUGGCGGGGGAGCACAACAACGGGUGGAGCCCUGCGGUUUAAUUGGACUCAACGCCGGACAACUCACCGGGGGCGACAGCAAUAUGUAGGCCAAGCUGAAGACUUUGCCUGAAUCGCUGAGUAGAGGUGCAUGG